GACGAACGCUGGCGGCGUGCUUAACACAUGCAAGUCGAACGGAAAGGCCCUGCUUUUGUGGGGUGCUCGAGUAGCGAACGGGUGAGUAACACGUGAGUAACCUGCCCUUGACUUUGGGAUAACUUCAGGAAACUGGGGCUAAUACCGGAUAGGAGCUCCUGCUGCAUGGUGGGGGUUGGAAAGUUUCGGCGGUUGGGGAUGGACUCGCGGCUUAUCAGCUUGUUGGUGGGGGAGUGGCUUACCAAGGCUUUGACGGGUAGCCGGCCUGAGAGGGUGACCGGCCACAUUGGGACUGAGAUACGGCCCAGACUCCUACGGGAGGCAGCAGUGGGGAAUAUUGCACAAUGGGCGGAAGCCUGAUGCAGCAACGCCGCGUGCGGGAUGACGGCCUUCGGGUUGUAAACCGCUUUCGCCUGUGACGAAGCGUGAGUGACGGUAAUGGGUAAAGAAGCACCGGCUAACUACGUG
RNAcentral lists this ribosomal RNA (468 nucleotides) under uncultured bacterium. RNAcentral describes it as "partial 16S ribosomal RNA". It matches the Rfam family "Bacterial small subunit ribosomal RNA", at positions 28 to 507 of the family's 1533-position model. The record is from RNAcentral.